RNAcentral lists this non-coding RNA (71 nucleotides) under Lysinibacillus sp. AC-3. Lineage: Bacteria; Bacillati; Bacillota; Bacilli; Caryophanales; Bacillaceae. The record is from RNAcentral.
AACCGCCGUAUACGGAUCCGUACGUACGGUGGUGUGAGAGGUCGGGAGUUAAUCACUCCCUCCUACUCGAU